This 153-nucleotide transfer-messenger RNA is filed under the name Reyranella sp. RNAcentral describes it as "partial transfer-messenger RNA". It matches the Rfam family "Alphaproteobacteria transfer-messenger RNA", at positions 169 to 355 of the family's 355-position model. Rfam says of the family: Bacterial tmRNA, also known as 10Sa RNA or SsrA, is named for its dual tRNA and mRNA-like properties. Its role is to liberate the mRNA from a stalled ribosome. The record is from RNAcentral. Lineage: Bacteria; Pseudomonadati; Pseudomonadota; Alphaproteobacteria; Hyphomicrobiales; Reyranellaceae.
AGCGUGGUAAAGGCGCGGUUUUUGCCCGGUAUGGUUCCGCCGUGACGGGCCAUUCACAAGUGCUAACGAUAACACCGUUACACUCGCUGCUGCCGCCUAAACAGCGGACGUAAGCGCGGUCCGGGGGGCACCGGGCAACAGAAGCCCCCCACU